ACGCAGGUGCUGCAUGGCUGUCGUCAGCUCGUGUCGUGAGAUGUUGGGUUAAGUCCCGCAACGAGCGCAACCCUUGCCUUUAGUUGCCAGCAGUUCGGCUGGGCACUCUAAAGGGACUGCCGGUGUUAAACCGGAGGAAGGUGGGGAUGACGUCAAGUCCUCAUGGCCUUUAUGACCAGGGCUACACACGUACUACAAUGGCCGAUACAAAGGGCAGCGACACUGCGAGGUGAAGCCAAUCCCGUAAAAUCGGUCUCAGUCCGGAUUGGAGUCUGCAACUCGACUCCAUGAAGUUGGAAUCGCUAGUAAUCGUGGAUCAGCAUGCCACGGUGAAUACGUUCCCGGGCCUU
This 350-nucleotide ribosomal RNA is filed under the name uncultured Desulfobulbus sp. RNAcentral's name for it is "bacterial SSU rRNA". It matches the Rfam family "Bacterial small subunit ribosomal RNA", at positions 1032 to 1382 of the family's 1533-position model. The record is from RNAcentral. Lineage: Bacteria; Pseudomonadati; Thermodesulfobacteriota; Desulfobulbia; Desulfobulbales; Desulfobulbaceae.